This is a long non-coding RNA of Stylophora pistillata, 244 nucleotides long. The record is from RefSeq and is a predicted model, not a curated record. NCBI's taxonomy places the organism in Eukaryota, Metazoa, Cnidaria, Anthozoa, Scleractinia, Pocilloporidae.
AUCUCAUCACCAAUUGCCUUAGUGAGUCGACUGGCUACAGGAUACCGGAUGCCUCGUCCCGAUCAGUGCUCGGAAGAACUAUAUGAGCUGAUGAAUUCUUGUUGGAAAGAAAAUCCUAUGAUGAGACCAGCCUUUUCAAAGAUCGCCCAACAGCUGAAGAACUUUUUACGAGAAGUGAAGAGGACAUAUACAAAUAUCACAGAGGAAAACGAUUGAGAGGCUUGAUGACGCCCUGAUGCUAAAG